Molecule: ribosomal RNA, 3569 nt
Filed under: Streptomyces sp. 5-10
Lineage: Bacteria; Bacillati; Actinomycetota; Actinomycetes; Kitasatosporales; Streptomycetaceae
Description: 23S ribosomal RNA
Rfam family: Bacterial large subunit ribosomal RNA
Source: RNAcentral
GGCCAAGUUUUUAAGGGCGCACGGUGGAUGCCUUGGCACCAGGAACCGAUGAAGGACGUGGGAGGCCGCGAUAGGCCCCGGGGAGCUGUCAACCGAGCUGUGAUCCGGGGGUGUCCGAAUGGGGAAACCCGGCAGUCGUCAUGGGCUGUCACCCGCUGCUGAACACAUAGGCAGUGUGGAGGGAACGCGGGGAAGUGAAACAUCUCAGUACCCGCAGGAAGAGAAAACAACCGUGAUUCCGGGAGUAGUGGCGAGCGAAACUGGAUGAGGCUAAACCGUAUGUGUGUGAUACCCGGCAGGGGUUGCGCAUGCGGGGUUGUGGGNNNNNNNNNNNNNNNNNNNNNNNCCCAAGUAGCACGGGGCCCGAGAAAUCCCGUGUGAAUCUGGCGGGACCACCCGCUAAGCCUAAAUAUUCCCUGGUGACCGAUAGCGGAUAGUACCGUGAGGGAAUGGUGAAAAGUACCGCGGGAGCGGAGUGAAAUAGUACCUGAAACCGUGUGCCUACAAGCCGUGGGAGCGUCGGACAUCAGCUUGCUGGUGUCUCGUGACUGCGUGCCUUUUGAAGAAUGAGCCUGCGAGUUUGCGGUGUGUUGCGAGGUUAACCCGUGUGGGGAAGCCGUAGCGAAAGCGAGUCCGAAUAGGGCGGUUUAGUAGCGCGCUCAAGACCCGAAGCGGAGUGAUCUAGCCAUGGGCAGGUUGAAGCGGAGGUAAGACUUCGUGGAGGACCGAACCCACCAGGGUUGAAAACCUGGGGGAUGACCUGUGGUUAGGGGUGAAAGGCCAAUCAAACUCCGUGAUAGCUGGUUCUCCCCGAAAUGCAUUUAGGUGCAGCGUCGUGUGUUUCUUGCCGGAGGUAGAGCACUGGAUAGGCGAUGGGCCCUACCGGGUUACUGACCUUAGCCAAACUCCGAAUGCCGGUAAGUGAGAGCGCGGCAGUGAGACUGUGGGGGAUAAGCUCCAUGGUCGAGAGGGAAACAGCCCAGAGCAUCGACUAAGGCCCCUAAGCGUACGCUAAGUGGGAAAGGAUGUGGAGUCGCAGAGACAACCAGGAGGUUGGCUUAGAAGCAGCCAUCCUUGAAAGAGUGCGUAAUAGCUCACUGGUCAAGUGAUUCCGCGCCGACAAUGUAGCGGGGCUCAAGCGUACCGCCGAAGUCGUGUCAUUGCAGCAUGAGGCUUAACGGCCGUUGUGAUGGGUAGGGGAGCGUCGUGUGCCGGGUGAAGCAGCCGUGUAAGCGAGUUGUGGAUGGUUCACGAGUGAGAAUGCAGGCAUGAGUAGCGNNNAGGCUUAACGGCCGUUGUGAUGGGUAGGGGAGCGUCGUGUGCCGGGUGAAGCAGCCGUGUAAGCGAGUUGUGGAUGGUUCACGAGUGAGAAUGCAGGCAUGAGUAGCGAUACACACGUGGGAAACGUGUGCGCCGAUUGACUAAGGGUUCCUGGGUCAAGCUGAUCUGCCCAGGGUAAGUCGGGACCUAAGGCGAGGCCGACAGGCGUAGUCGAUGGACAACCGGUUGAUAUUCCGGUACCCGCUUUGAAACGCCCAGUAUCGAAUCCUCUGAUGCUAAGGCCGUGAAGCCGCCCUGGAUCCUUCGGGUGAAGGGGAGUGGUGGAGCCGCCGGCCCAAGGUGGUAGUANNNACGCCCAGUAUCGAAUCCUCUGAUGCUAAGGCCGUGAAGCCGCCCUGGAUCCUUCGGGUGAAGGGGAGUGGUGGAGCCGCCGGCCCAAGGUGGUAGUAGGUAAGUGAUGGGGUGACGCAGGAAGGUAGUCCAGCCCGGGCGGUGGUUGUCCCGGGGUAAGGGUGUAGGACGUAAGGUAGGCAAAUCCGCCUUGCAUGUGUCUGAGACCUGAUGCCGAGCCGAUUGUGGUGAAGUGGAUGAUCCUAUGCUGUCGAGAANACCAGACUUGUAGUAGGUGAGUGAUGGGGUGACGCAGGAAGGUAGUCCAGCCCGGGCGGUGGUUGUCCCGGGGUAAGGGUGUAGGACGUAAGGUAGGCAAAUCCGCCUUGCAUGUGUCUGAGACCUGAUGCCGAGCCGAUUGUGGUGAAGUGGAUGAUCCUAUGCUGUCGAGAAAAGCCUCUAGCGAGUUUCAUGGCGGCCCGUACCCUAANCCCGAGGGGUAGGUAAAUCCGUCCCUCAUGUAAGGGUGAGACCUGAUGCCGAGCCGAUUGUGGUGAAGUGGAUGAUCCUAUGCUGUCGAGAAAAGCCUCUAGCGAGUUUCAUGGCGGCCCGUACCCUAAACCGACUCAGGUGGUCAGGUAGAGAAUACCGAGGCGUUCGGGUGAACUAUGGUUAAGGAACUCGGCAAAAUGCCCCCGUAACUUCGGGAGAAGGGGGGCCAUUGCUGGUGAUGGGACUUGCUCCUUGAGCUGGUGGUGGCCGCAGAGACCAGCGAGAAGCGACUGUUUACUAAAAACACAGGUCCGUGCGAAGCCNAAGCGACUGUUUACUAAAAACACAGGUCCGUGCGAAGCCGUAAGGCGAUGUAUACGGACUGACGCCUGCCCGGUGCUGGAACGUUAAGGGGACCGGUUAGUGGGGUUUCGAUUCCGCGAAGCUGAGAACUUAAGCGCCAGUAAACGGCGGUGGUAACUAUAACCAUCCUAAGGUAGCGAAAUUCCUUGUCGGGUAAGUUCCGACCUGCACGAAUGGCGUAACGACUUCUCGACUGUCUCAACCAUAGGCCCGGUGAAAUUGCAUUACGAGUAAAGAUGCUCGUUUCGCGCAGCAGGACGGAAAGACCCCGGGACCUUUACUAUAGCUUGAUAUUGGUGUUCGGUUCGGCUUGUGUAGGAUAGGUGGGAGACUGUGAAGCGCUGACGCCAGUUAGUGUGGAGUCGUUGUUGAAAUACCACUCUGGUCGUGCUGGAUGUCUAACCUGGGUCCGUGAUCCGGAUCAGGGACAGUGUCUGGUGGGUAGUUUAACUGGGGCGGUUGCCUCCUAAAGGGUAACGGAGGCGCCCAAAGGUUCCCUCAGCCUGGUUGGCAAUCAGGUGUUGAGUGUAAGUGCACAAGGGAGCUUGACUGUGAGACCGACGGGUCGAGCAGGGACGAAAGUCGGGACUAGUGAUCCGGCGGUGGCUUGUGGAAGCGCCGUCGCUCAACGGAUAAAAGGUACCCCGGGGAUAACAGGCUGAUCUUCCCCAAGAGUCCAUAUCGACGGGAUGGUUUGGCACCUCGAUGUCGGCUCGUCGCAUCCUGGGGCUGGAGUCGGUCCCAAGGGUUGGGCUGUUCGCCCAUUAAAGCGGUACGCGAGCUGGGUUUAGAACGUCGUGAGACAGUUCGGUCCCUAUCCGCUGUGCGCGUAGGAGUCUUGAGAAGGGCUGUCCCUAGUACGAGAGGACCGGGACGGACGAACCUCUGGUGUGCCAGUUGUUCUGCCAAGGGCAUGGCUGGUUGGCUACGUUCGGGAGGGAUAACCGCUGAAAGCAUCUAAGCGGGAAGCCUGCUUCGAGAUGAGGGCUCCCACCCACUUGAUGGGUUAAGGCUCCCAGUAGACGACUGGGUUGAUAGGCCAGAUAUGGAAGCCGGGUGACCGGUGGAGUUGACUGGUACUAAUAGGCCGAGGGCUUGUCCUC